CCCAAGAUUCUAGGACAGUGUGCUGUGUACCCAAACUCCUGCAGAGGUCCAUUCAUUGUCAUUCUGAAGGGUUCCCCAACAGCAGAAGGCUAACUCUGUUCCAUUAUUGACUUACCAUGCCAAGAUCCCUGUAUUGUGAUAAUCCAAAAACUGGAUAGACCUCCUCUUCUGAUGUAUUCAUGGAGCUGCAAAAACCCUGGCAACCACACAAUAUGAGUAGCAGUGCAUUCAGUUUGUUGACUUCCAUUGCCUUCAGCAACAUUAUUACACAGCCAAAUUUCAUAGGCCAAAUGAAAGGGGGUAAUUACUAAUCAAGGAAGGAGAAAACACCAGCUACCAGGUGAAACAAUGGCAUUGAAGAGGAAAUUAAAUAGAGAAAGGGCACCUGAGCAAGUCAAUCCAAUUCCCAUCAAAGUGAACUGAAGUUCUCUAGACACUGAUCAACCCUCAAAACAAUACUUUAGGACAAAGCUAAAUUCACAUUUAGGACAAAGCUAAAUGCACAUAUUCUGCAUAUCAUCAGUCUUUUGCAAUUGCUGAUCCGCUGAUGUUUUUAAGCAAAACCCCCCAUAAUUUUUAAUUAAAAUGGUUAUGAAAAUGCC
Long non-coding RNA from Rhineura floridana, 602 nucleotides. RefSeq lists it as uncharacterized. The transcript has 5 exons. Lineage: Eukaryota; Metazoa; Chordata; Lepidosauria; Squamata; Rhineuridae. The record is from RefSeq and is a predicted model, not a curated record.